This 73-nucleotide transfer RNA is filed under the name Ictidomys tridecemlineatus (thirteen-lined ground squirrel). RNAcentral's name for it is "Spermophilus tridecemlineatus (thirteen-lined ground squirrel) tRNA". It matches the Rfam family "tRNA". From Rfam's summary of the family: Transfer RNA (tRNA) molecules are approximately 80 nucleotides in length. Their secondary structure includes four short double-helical elements and three loops (D, anti-codon, and T loops). Lineage: Eukaryota; Metazoa; Chordata; Mammalia; Rodentia; Sciuridae. The record is from Rfam by way of RNAcentral.
GGGAGUAUAGCUCAGUUGGUAAAGUGUUUGCCUUGUAUGUACAAAGCCCUGAGUUCAAUCCUCGGCACACACA